GAUAAACGCUGGCGGCGUGCCUAAUACAUGCAAGUCGAGCGAACGGACGAGAAGCUUGCUUCUCUGAUGUUAGCGGCGGACGGGUGAGUAACACGUGGAUAACCUACCUAUAAGACUGGGAUAACUUCGGGAAACCGGAGCUAAUACCGGAUAAUAUUUUGAACCGCAUGGUUCAAAAGUGAAAGACGGUCUUGCUGUCACUUAUAGAUGGAUCCGCGCUGCAUUAGCUAGUUGGUAAGGUAACGGCUUACCAAGGCAACGAUGCAUAGCCGACCUGAGAGGGUGAUCGGCCACACUGGAACUGAGACACGGUCCAGACUCCUACGGGAGGCAGCAGUAGGGAAUCUUCCGCAAUGGGCGAAAGCCUGACGGAGCAACGCCGCGUGAGUGAUGAAGGUCUUCGGAUCGUANAACUCUGUUAUUAGGGAAGAACAUAUGUGUAAGUAACUGUGCAUAUCUUGACGGUACCUAAUCAGAAAGCCACGGCUAACUACGUGCCAGCAGCCGCGGUAAUACGUAGGUGGGCAGCGUUAUCCCGGAUUUAUUGGGCCGUAAGCGCGCGUAGGCGGUUUUUUAAGUCUGAUGUGAAAGCCCACGGCGUCAAUCGUGGAGGGUCAUUGGAAACUGGAAAACUUGAGUGCAGAAGAGGAAAGUGGAAUUCCAUGUGUAGCGGUGAAAUGCGCAGAGAUAUGGAGGAACACCAGUGGCGAAGGCGACUUUCUGGUCUGUAACUGACGCUGAUGUGCGAAAGCGUGGGGAUCAAACAGGAUUAGAUACCCUGGUAGUCCACGCCGUAAACGAUGAGUGCUAAGUGUUAGGGGGUUUCCGCCCCUUAGUGCUGCAGCUAACGCAUUAAGCGCUCCGCCUGGGGAGUACGACCGCAAGGUUGAAACUCAAAGGAAUUGACGGGGACCCGCACAAGCGGUGGAGCAUGUGGUUUAAUUCGAAGCAACGCGAAGAACCUUACCAAAUCUUGACAUCCUUUGACAACUCUAGAGAUAGAGCCUUCCCCUUCGGGGGACAAAGUGACAGGUGGUGCAUGGUUGUCGUCAGCUCGUGUCGUGAGAUGUUGGGUUAAGUCCCGCAACGAGCGCAACCCUUAAGCUUAGUUGCCAUCAUUAAGUUGGGCACUCUAAGUUGACUGCCGGUGACAAACCGGAGGAAGGUGGGGAUGACGUCAAAUCAUCAUGCCCCUUAUGAUUUGGGCUACACACGUGCUACAAUGGACAAUACAAAGGGCAGCGAAACCGCGAGGUCAAGCAAAUCCCAUAAAGUUGUUCUCAGUUCGGAUUGUAGUCUGCAACUCGACUACAUGAAGCUGGAAUCGCUAGUAAUCGUAGAUCAGCAUGCUACGGUGAAUACGUUCCCGGGUCU
Molecule: ribosomal RNA, 1374 nt
Filed under: uncultured bacterium
Lineage: Bacteria
Description: bacterial SSU rRNA
Rfam family: Bacterial small subunit ribosomal RNA
Source: RNAcentral